This 508-nucleotide ribosomal RNA is filed under the name uncultured bacterium. RNAcentral's name for it is "partial 16S ribosomal RNA". It matches the Rfam family "Bacterial small subunit ribosomal RNA", at positions 28 to 507 of the family's 1533-position model. The record is from RNAcentral.
GACGAACGCUGGCGGCGUGCUUAACACAUGCAAGUCGAACGGGAUAAUUUGAGAGCUUGCUCUUAGAGAAUCUAGUGGCAAACGGGUGAGUAACACGUAGACAACCUGCCGACAGGAUGGGGACAACAUUCCGAAAGGAAUGCUAAUACCGAAUGAAGCGGAGGAGAGGCAUCUCUCCUCCGUGAAAGAUGGCCUCUGAAUAUGCUAUCACCUGUCGAUGGGUCUGCGUCUGAUUAGCUAGUUGGUGAGGUAACGGCUCACCAAGGCGACGAUCAGUAGCCGGUCUGAGAGGAUGAACGGCCACAUUGGGACUGAGACACGGCCCAGACUCCUACGGGAGGCAGCAGUGGGGAAUCUUCCGCAAUGGGCGCAAGCCUGACGGAGCAACGCCGCGUGGGUGAAGAAGGUCUUCGGAUCGUAAAGCUCUGUUGACGGGGACGAACGUGCGAAGGGUGAAUAAUCCUUUGUAAUGACGGUACCUGUCGAGGAAGCCACGGCUAACUACGUG